UUUUAGCCCCGAUAAAAGUGGAAAUCCUUUUCCUUUUUUUUUAAGGAAAAGAUUAUAACGGAUAGCGGGAUUAGCU
This 76-nucleotide small RNA is filed under the name Flavobacterium sp. 120. Its description in RNAcentral is "Flavo-1 RNA". It matches the Rfam family "Flavo-1 RNA". Lineage: Bacteria; Pseudomonadati; Bacteroidota; Flavobacteriia; Flavobacteriales; Flavobacteriaceae. The record is from RNAcentral.